RNAcentral lists this ribosomal RNA (253 nucleotides) under uncultured bacterium. Its description in RNAcentral is "partial 16S ribosomal RNA". It matches the Rfam family "Bacterial small subunit ribosomal RNA", at positions 524 to 776 of the family's 1533-position model. The record is from RNAcentral.
UACGUAUGGUGCAAGCGUUAUCCGGAUUUACUGGGUGUAAAGGGAGCGCAGGCGGCACGGCAAGCCUGAUGUGAAAGCCCGCGGCCCUACCGCGGGACUGCAUUGGGAACUACCGGGCUGGAGUGCCGGAGAGGUAGGCGGAAUUCCUAGUGUAGCGGUGAAAUGCGUAGAUAUUAGGAGGAACACCAGUGGCGAAGGCGGCCUACUGGACGGUGACUGACGCUGAGGCUCGAAAGCGUGGGGAGCAAACAGG